GACGAACGCUGGCGGCGUGCUUAACUCAUGCAAGUCGAACGGGAUUUAGUAAACAGAAACCUCGGUGGAAGAUUACUAAUGAGAGUGGCGAACGGGUGAGUAACGCGUGAGCAACCUGCCUAUGACAGUGGGAUAGCCUCGGGAAACCGGGAUUAAUACCGCAUAAAAUCGUAGAAACACAUGUUUUAACGGUCAAAGAUUUAUCGGUCAUAGAUGGGCUCGCGUCUGAUUAGCUAGUUGGUGAGAUAACAGCCCACCAAGGCGACGAUCAGUAGCCGGUCUGAGAGGAUGAACGGCCACAUUGGAACUGAGACACGGUCCAAACUCCUACGGGAGGCAGCAGUGGGGAAUAUUGCACAAUGGGGGAAACCCUGAUGCAGCGACGCCGCGUGAACGAAGAAGGUAUUCGUAUCGUAAAGUUCUGUCCUAUGGGAAGAUAAUGACAGUACCAUAGAAGAAAGCUCCGGCUAAAUACGUG
This 478-nucleotide ribosomal RNA is filed under the name uncultured bacterium. RNAcentral's name for it is "partial 16S ribosomal RNA". It matches the Rfam family "Bacterial small subunit ribosomal RNA", at positions 28 to 507 of the family's 1533-position model. The record is from RNAcentral.